This 492-nucleotide ribosomal RNA is filed under the name uncultured bacterium. Its description in RNAcentral is "partial 16S ribosomal RNA". It matches the Rfam family "Bacterial small subunit ribosomal RNA", at positions 29 to 507 of the family's 1533-position model. The record is from RNAcentral.
AGUGAACGCUGGCGGUAGGCCUAACACAUGCAAGUCGAACGGCAGCACAGUAAGAGCUUGCUCUUACGGGUGGCGAGUGGCGGACGGGUGAGGAAUACAUCGGAAUCUACUUUUUCGUGGGGGAUAACGUAGGGAAACUGACGCUAAUACCGCAUACGACCUACGGGUGAAAGCAGGGGAUCUUCGGACCUUGCGCGAUUGAAUGAGCCGAUGUCGGAUUAGCUAGUGGGCAGGGUAAAGGCCCACCAAGGCGACGAUGCGUAGCCGACCUGAGAGGAGGAUCGGCCACACUGGAACUGAGACACGGUCCAGACUCCUACGGGAGGCAGCAGUAGGGAAUCUUCCGCAAAGGGCGAAAGCCUGACGGAGCAACGCCGCGUGAGUGAUGAAGGUCUUCGGAUCGUAAAACUCUGUUAUUAGGGAAGAACAAAUGUGUAAGUAACUAUGCACGUCUUGACGGUACCUAAUCAGAAAGCCACGGCUAACUACGUG